UAGAGUGAGGCUACUAUGCUAUCGAAAGUACGGAGCCUUCCGUGCUUUCAGCUCAUUUUCGAUGUUGCGGCUUUCGAAUCGUCGAUCAGCUCCGUUAAACUUGAUCUAGAGUAUUUGAAAUACCUAGAAAAUAAAUUUUAUGAUUUUACGAUAUCAUUUACCUAGUGAACGAAGGGGCUCAAAUUCAACGGCUGAAAAUAAAAAUCUUAUAAAAUGUAAUAAUAUGACAUUAAAAUUUUAAAUCAAAGAUAUUGAUCUUGUUUUAUAUAGUAUAAAGAAUUUUCUAUCAAAAUUUCACGUGAUUUGGAUAUUUCUACACCGUUAAACUUGCAAACGGCUCACUACGGCCAUUGAAAUUUAUUGAUUUUGAGCCCAUUCGAUUAUUAGGCAAAUGAUAUCGAAAAAUAAUAAAAUUUAUUUUCUAGGUACUCCAAAUACUCUAGAUCAAGUUUAACGGAGCCGAUUGACGAUUCGAAAGUCGUAACAUCGUAACGAGCUGGAAGCACGGAAGGCUCCGUGCUUCCGAUAGCAUAGUAGUCUCACUCUAUAUAUAUAUAUAUAUUUCGAUGAUGUACGGAAAGUUAAAUCCUGAUGGUUAUGUUUGCUUACAAUCUUUUUCUACUAAGUGGUUUUUUCAUAUAUAUAUAUCUCAACUCUAUCUUAUGAAGAUUUUCAUAAUACUCCAACCACGAAAACUUAAACAUUGGUAACCUACUUUUUUACAUUCCAACCCUACUACUACCAUCCACCACCAUCCACCACCAUCCACCUUAUCAUAAACUAGGUUCCCGAUAAUUAUUAAUUCCUCAUCUAGAUUCCCGAUCUUUAGAUUUUCGUGAUUAACCCACUAUGAAGAUUUUCAUAAAAUCGAGUUAAGAUAUAUAUAUAUAUAUAUAUAUAUCUUUAAGUUUGGAGUCUACAGAAUCUACCGCUAACGUUAUUGUUCAUUGUUGGAAAGAUACCACGUCAUCAACAAGGAAAUAAGUAAUUUUUGUUUUCCAAUUAAAAUAAACAUGGAAGUGUUUCAAUACUUUAUAUUAUUUAUGAGAAGCUUAAAAAUUUUAAAACGUUUACGGGUAGAUUUAUAUUAUAAAAAAAGUAUUUAUGGGAGUGUUAAUUAAAAAAAAUUGAAGGCAGUCAAAUCAUAAAAAAAAUAAAAUGAAGUUUUAUACUUUAAUAGUAAAGUGGGAAUUAAACAAGUGAUAAAUAAAAACCCAAUUAAAGUAAGCAUAGGGAGAUUUAAAGUUUUUAUAAUAUUUAUAGUAAUAUUUAAAAUAAUAUAGUAUUAAUGGAAAGAUUUAUGUAUGAAAGAAAGUUUUUAUAGGAGUGGUAAUAUGAGACAGAAAAAAUUCAGUAUAAUUAGAAUCAAUCUACCACCAGCUUGCGAUCAAUUUUAAACUUUACAAAUAAAAUGGGUACUCAUCUUUGAAAACCUCCUAUAUAAUUAAAAUACUAAAUGAGAAAUUGAGAAUUGAAAACAAGUAAUAAAUAAAUUGUAGGUCUGAUUGUAACAAGCGACUAUAAAAAAUCAUGAUACAUCGAGGAUUAAAAACAAUUAAUAAAUAAAAUCAAUCAAGAUGAAUUUUAAAAUAAAUUGAAUCUAACGAGACAAUCGAUAAUGAAUAAUAUACAAAAAAAAUAAAAUUGAAGAUGCUACAUUAAUUCUAAUAAUUUUAACAACUUUAGUAGUUACAUAACUACUUUAGGCAUUAAAUUAACUGUUUUUAGUUAGGUUAAAGUUCCUUGGUUUAUAAUUCUUCCAAAACUAGUUUUUUUAAUUUAAUUCCCCGAUAAAACAUUACAUAUUAUCAAUUUUCUUUAGAGAUAUAUAAUUAGAAUCUUUUAAACACUACUAUAACUACUUUUACGUAACUCUCAUUUAAGCCAUAAAACUUAAACAAUAUGCACUUGUGCCGUCUCAUUAUCAAUACUCCCAUAAAAAUUUUUAAAAUAUAAAAACUCCCGUUUAUAAACUUUAAAAUUUUAAAAUUUCCCAUAAAUACUAUAAUUUCGAUGAACCUCCUUUAAAAGAGAUUUUAUUUUCCCUCUCUCUCUCAUUGGUGGUUAUGUGUUGUCCUCUUUAUGUACCCUACCUAGUCGCACUUUUGCGGCGAGGAGAAGGUUAGGUUUAGCGAGACGAAAAGGGACGAGAUGGAGGAGUGGUGGGAGGGGGAGAGGUAGAUGCAGAGGAAGAGGGUUAGACCCACGGAGAAGGCGAGGGGGUGGGUGGCGGCGUCGGGGUUGGGGGCGGAGAAGAGGAUGGGGCCGAGGAUACCGCUCGUGUUCAUGCGGGAGGGGUGGUGCGCUGGGCUCACGAGGAGGGGACGGGUGAAGAGUCCAGGUCAAGGAGAGACUUAGGCAUUAAGAGGGACUUAAAAAGCGAGAAACUAGGCCUAAAACCCAAAAGUGCUCACCCAGAAACCGAAACCUAGUCUAAUGCGGUUCCACAAACUCCUUUAGGCGCUUAACGCGCCGUUAGAGAGCGCCCCCUUGAGCAGGCGGAGGGGACAAAACUCCAUGGCCUGCCCAUUUCGGCUGUGGAAACGCCCCUUAAAGAGCUGGGUCUACUCCUUUAGCAAGAAGUUAGUGUCGCUACUACCCCAACUCCAGGGAACACCUAAAAAGUUCCUCAAAGGAUAUUCUCUUAGACCAAGGACCUUAGAUUAGAGAGAGAGAGAGAAAGAAAAAACCAUAUCAAUCGAUAAACUUACCUUCUUAACUUCUACCAACUAGAAAUUUAGACAACUAAGUUAGGUAUAUAAGACUUAAAUUUAGACAACUAAGUUAGGUAUAUAAGUCUUAAACUUAGGUAAACGUACGAAACUACGUAAUCAAACAUUUCCUUUUUUCUUUUUUUUGGUUAGUUAAACAAAGGAUCUUCUUGAACAAGAUGGACCCUUAAACACAUAUACUUGUAAGACCAAUUAUUUAUUCGUUGGAUUUAAACUGGGUAUGAUACACAGAAGUGGAAUUAACACCUCAAAGAAAGUAAAUAAAGUAACGAAUUCAACGUUUUAAACAAAACAUGAAACCAUUACUAAUUCUCGUAACGAAAAAGAAGUUCAAAUGAGACGAAAAAUUCGAAGAAAAGGAGUAAAGUAAGAUUGAUACUUGAGUCUAUUUAAUCGAUACUUUUUCACGCUGCCGCAGCAGCAGCAUAGCCGCCAGAAGCCGCUGGUGCUGUUUUAGGCCGUCGGCUUUCCGAAUCCUCGAGUUUGAGACCUUUGACAAACGAAGAAGUACAAGUAUCUAUUGAGAUGAGUAUUUCGGGAGCGGCGAGUGUUUUAAGAAUCACUACCUCUAUUCCCUUAGUUGUAUUAUCCUCGUACCUCUUAUCACUCCCAAAAAUGGCUACUUAACGGAAUGCUCUUGGGGCGAUACUUGCCACACUAGGGCUUCGUAAACUAAGUGGCCGAGAAGGGCUUAAGAUUCAAGCCGCAUACCAACCUGCGCUUCGACGUCGAUUGACACCUGGGUGACGAAGAUUAAGUAAGUGAAAACUAGCGCUUCCUGCGCCUGUACCGCUAGAGCUUCGUAGGUAAAUUACAUGUAUGAUACCUUCUCCGUUACCGUUGCCGCUCCACCUCCUUCACCCCUCUACAACUCAGAAACUCCCAAGUCUACCUCUGGAUGACACUCUUACCAAACGUCGGUACCAGUGGAUCGUUCGUAGGGAUAUGUUGUCCACGGAGAUGAAACGAGAUAUAUUCAAAUAGAAACGAGAAAGAAGAAGACAACAACCUUAAUACCUCUCUUUGUAUAUUUAAAAAAAAAAAAACUCUUUUAAUUGUAUACUUAAUACGUGAAGAUGAAGAGUCUCUCGUUUCGUUCCACAUCGUAAAUUAAAGACGGUUUUAUAUCAACGUAAACUUUAAAUUAUAGAACAUCAUCGUUACGUGUUAUUCUUGUGGCUAGAGAUAAUCUCCGUGUAAAUGACACUUGGGCUUAACUAGAUGUUUUAAGGAAGCUAUUGUGACCAAUCUUUCCUUUUUAAUUUUCUUCUUGCUGUCGACCUUUCUCAACACUUCCGUUACACCCCUGGUUUGAAAAUUUAAUUUUUCCUAAACAGGUUGAGAAUCCGAAAUUUCACACCAAGAGGUAGGGAAGAAAAUUGUCAACCUCGAAAAGUAAUUCUAACGUAAAUCAAGGAAUAAUAUGAAUCAAGGUGAUUAAACAUCCAAGUCACCGGUAAAAAAUGAAGUAAAAUAGCCAAAUCAAGAGAAGAGUAGAGUGAACGUUAAGGAACACCUAGACUCAGAUGGUAAGAGAAAGAAAUUAACGAAGUUUAGCGGAGAAUGAUCGUUAAGAUAAAACAACCAAAAAGAAAAAAAAAUUUUUUUUUUUCAAAAGGUUUGUCAAGAAGUACUUAAUCACUAUUCUUUGACAUGAGUUAAUAACCAACAUUUAAACAAAAACAGACUCUUCUUGAUUAGUAAGUCGUAUUGGGAUUACAUAAUUGUUUGACGUAUAUAACUUCAGGGAAGGACUACUAUUAAAGAAGUAAAAAUAUUUUUAUUCUUAUUAACGUAACGUCACGGAUUAGAUUCAAAGCAUGUAAUUAUAUAGUUUAUUGUGAAACAAAAAAGCGUGACGGUCAAGAUAACAUGAUUUAAACGGGUGAGUAGUAUACUUUACUAGGUCUACAAGGACUAUGACGUGAUUAAUAUUCCUCCGUAUCGGACCGAUCGUUGGAGAAGAGGACGGAAGAUAAGUUGCUCGAGCUCCGGAAAUUGGGGGCUCUAGUCGAGCGCAAGCGGAUACACUCUCUAAAUUACUCGGGGUUCUAGUUUUAUUUGUACAAGCUCCAGCUCCAUAAGCUCGUGUAACGACACCUCAUGUCCGUGUUGGAGUUCCCGUCGCCUCCUCCUCCACCCGUCCACAAUUCAUUCUAUCGGAGGGGGGCUCUGUAACAGCCCUCGUCAACACUUCCGAUGGAAAACUUCUACACCCCUCUUAGGUCACUAAUUUCUAAUUAUUUCGGUUUUAAUAAUUACUGUCUUUUCUACAUAACUUAGACUAGUUCAAACGAUACGUUUGUGAUUGGUCUAAAUUAUGUCAACACGGCAGUUAUUGUUAAGAAUGACAUAAUUAUAGUAUUCUUUUAUUGGUUCAAUAAUCACUAUAGAGAGAGAGAGCACGUAAAUACCGCUACGCUGCAUGGAACCUCUUUCGGUGAUGGUCUUCUUGACAGUUCCACUCCCGUACCUUGGAAUUAAGAAAAAAACUUUGAAAAGUGACCCCCUAUUUCUUUAGUGUCCCCUCCCAGGAGACUUCACUCACCCAUGUACAACCCCUCCAAACUAACCAUUACAUCGUGUAUCCCUUCCCUCGAUAUUAAAUAGGGAAGGAAAAUCCAAACCGGGUAAACAACUAUCUAAUAAGUAACUAAGUAACAAAUCACAAGGAACACACUUUAUUUUAGGACUUCUUUUUCCAUCGGUAAGAAAAGAAGACCGGAAACACCUCUAACAUUUAUUGUUUAAUAAUUAAGAACAGGACCUAAAACCUGGAGGAAUAUGAAAAAAAAAAAAAAAAAAAAAAACCAUACACUCAGAAUAUGUUCCUCUAUUAUAUUUCGGUACAAGUUUCAUAACGCAACGUGGAAACUUCACGGAAAGAACACCGUCAAGAGUACUUUAUCUUAAACAAAGGACCACGAGAGUAAAGUAAACAUAAGAGAAAAGUCAAGCUUUUUAAAACUUAAGGAACCGUGAAGAAUAGUAUAGGUGGUGUAUAUUUAAGCUUAAGGAAAACACCUAACUAUACAAUGCUUGUAUUUUACCUAUCGUAAGUUUGUUUUGAGUGAAAUGGUACAAUUUGAAUCAUAAUUCAACUACUACUACUAAACCGGUUUUAUAUAAACUAUAUAUCUAUCUGUGUUAUACUGGGAUUAUUUUCAGAAUUUUAACACCACUAUCGAGACCGUCACUUCAGUCUUAUCUAGAACUAUGUUACUUACUACUAAACCUCUUAAAUCACAAAAGGUGUAUGUCUUUAUGAUUAUUUAGUUUGUAGUUGUCUCUGAACAUGAAGUUCUUACUUUUGUUGUUUUGUGAAAAUAUACAUAAACUUUCUCCUAAAACUAUAACUUUUUACGUAAAUAACAUAUUCCAGUACUGAGUGACCGAUUUAUGCUAAUUUAAAUUGCUUAGGCUGUUCGGACAUCAUUUCCAAAGAAACAAUCGUAACGAAGAGUAGCUUGAAGAAGGACAAUCAGCCAUGCGUUGAGAACGAAUAAAAACUUGAGAAAGGUACGCAGAUGCGGUCUGAAAUGGUAGAAGAGAUAGAGUAGAUGUGAACAUCACAGUCCUCUAUCGUACGGGAGGUGGCGAUUGUAGUACAAAUAAUAUCGGACAGUUCGUGGUUCUUCAUUCAACUAUGUACCAGGCUUUUUAUAUCACAAACCAACCCUUUAUCAUUUAUGAGGUGCCUUAAUACCGCUGCGUAUCUUGAUCGGUCAAGAUAGUAUGGGGUAGUUUAAGGAAAAAGAUCCUAUUCCUAACGACUACGUUUAUAAAGUCGACGAGACCAUAAGUGGUGAUAGAAGAGAGCUAAAAAGCGGUUUGGUUUGUGAUGGUUUAAUUUUAUAAAAGAAGUAGUUAGUUCACACUUUCUGAGUGGUUCACUUCUAUCCCGGAGGGCAGCGCACCCCCUUACUCGGCUCUUGAGUAAUAGACGACCGUUUAGAGAAACCGAAACACUAUCAGAAAGAUGUUUGGUCAUAACUAUUCUACAAUGAUUAAGCCUUCUAAGUAUAAGAACUAAUGUGUAAGUAUCGAAAACAUUGUAAAAAUUUCUAUUUAAAACAACAAGACUUUGUAGAUUCUCUUAACAUCUUUUUGAACAGCCUAAGGUGUCUUCUUUCCCGGAAAAAUCCAACAAACUUAUCGAACAUAAUACGAAAUUACAACUUCCUUUAAUGGACUAACUAGUCGUGUUCCCAAUCAUGGUUGGGAUACAGUAUAAAAGAAAGGAAGAGAAGACAACGACUGGUAUUAAACAUAUCGUAUGAUCAAUUGGAAACCCGAGGUAGUCGGGAUAGGUGGCCACACAUCAGGACGUACGUCUAUAUUAAGAAAAAAAUUUUUUUUUUUUGAUUUAUAACAUUAUUUUCAUUCUACUUAAUUUCGUUCUACAACGCAAAUCUCUAGCUCAACUAAAUUAAUCUAAAAAGUUUGUGACUUGGUUGGAUUCUUGUUGUAUAAAUUAUAAACAUAAGUUGUUAAAAAUUUCUCAUCCUCUUUCUGAUUAAUUGUUCGCGAAACACGGAGGAUCCGAGUCUUUUUUAGAGCAGAUAUAGAGAUUAAUUUAUUAGGUUUUUCUUUUAAGAUCAUACUGUGAUAAAUGCGUUCAACCUUUGUGAAUGGUCAAUGUUCUUUUUUGAAAGCGGAGGAGUUGUUUUUAAUACACUACUAAUGAGGGUUUUCUCUGUUUUUUAAUCAGGUAACACAAACGCGGCCGGAAAAAUGAAAAUCUUUAUACAAAAUUCGUUGCAUAAACCAAUAAAAGAAAACAUCUUUAUUUCAAUAGAUUUUUAUGCUUUAUUGACUUAAACCCUCAAUCCUGAGACUCUGUUAACUUCACAUGAUGCUUCAUUGACUUGAAUCCUGUUAACACAGGGUUCGCUUCACAUGACGUGUGUCACUCGUUUAUAAAUCACUCUCUUUCUCUCUCUCUCUCUCUCUCUCUAACUCUCGUUGGGGGAAUCACUCGAGGAGCAUCUCCUCCAGCCGGUUCCACAUGCAGAAGAAAAGCAGGCUGGAGGUCGACAUGCCGUAGUUGAGGAACAUCUAGAGGCGCAUGUGCGCGAGGCCGUCGUGGGGGUGGGAAGGGGGCGGGCGGAGGCAGCCGGGGCGGCCGGCGAAGUCGUCCUAGAGGCAGUCGUGCAGGUCGCAGGCGACGCAGCGGGAGGGGCUGAGGACGGAGGUGAGGCGGCGGCCCCAGGGGGGCGCGCGGGGGCCUCGGACGUCGCGCGCGCGGCGUCGGUGGCGGCGCGUCGGCGGCGGGGGCGGCGGGGUCGGGGAGUCCGUGCGGCGCGGGUGCCGCCGCGUGCAAUCGUGGUGGUGGGGGCGCGAGUGGCGGCGGCGGGACACGCCGCCGGAGGCGGCGGGGCCGCGCCGCGGCCUCGGACGCCGAAGCGGGAGGAGGCGGCCCCCGCCGCAGCGGAGCCGCGCGUGGCGGCGACGCGCCGCCGCCUCGCGCCGCUCCGGCACGCCCGCGUCACGUCCCUUUACCCCGCACGCCGCCGUCUCCCUCCGAAGGUACCUUCUUCGAACUAAUUAAUCCAACACCUCCACUUGCUUUUUAACGCAACACCCACUAACAAUUAAGCCACAAAUAACUGCUCCCUCAGCCCUCAGCACUGAGCACUCUCUCUCGUUACUUCCUAACAGACAAAGAAUACAAACGGGUUGUAAGCUAUAGCCUAGUUGUUGUUAAUUAUAUUCUCACCCCAUGCUUAACGUGAAUUUUAGAUUAUGGUCUUGCUUACGAUUUAAAGGUUGUUUGUUUUACAGUGGAUAUAAAGACAAUGCCUUUUUGGGGGCUUUUGUAGUUGACGUUCGUUUCACCUUACUCUCUACGGACUCAUAUUUAUUCUCUCUCUUUAUAUAUAAGGAUCUCGUGCGGGGUUUUGGUUUUUUUUUUUUUUUUUUUAACUGUCUAGUCUUGGAUCAGAUUUAAGUUUUUUUNNNNNNNNNNNNNNNNNNNNNUAUCUAUAUAUAUAUAUAUAUAUAUAUAUAUAUAUAUAUAUAUAUAGACUGAGUGAAUGACCUAAGUUUAGUUAAAAUUGGGCUAAUGUUCUGGCCCAUAAAAACAAAUCUAAUUGACAAACAAAAGUGUAAAAUUUCACUAAAUUUACACACUCUCUCUUCUUCUGUUUUUUCACAAAGCUCUAAAUCCAUAAUCUCUUUUUCUCUUUCUCUUUUUUCCUAUCUUUCACUCUGAGCAGCCAAGCUUGAAGCCCCCCAAGUUACUAAGUAACAGUAUGUGCCCGUCAUUUUUUGCCAUUAGUUGCGUGCUUGAGAAAAUAUAUAGAAUAUUUUUAAGGUAAAAAAGUAUUUUUUAUACAAAAUUUUGAUUUUAGUUAUAUAUGAUUAGAUAGUUUAAUCCAAUAUUUGUCUAUAUAAUUUAUUCAUUUUUUGACCAUAUAGAUAAAAAAGUAUAAUAUAGAGAUUGAAGGCGAAAAAAAAAAAACAUGCGAGGUUGAAAAGAUUAGAUAUUCAAUUCAUAAAUUAUUUUUCUUUAUAUUAUAAUACCGUAUUUUAUAUAAUUAUUUUGUAUUAUUAGAUAUAUUUUUGUAUCGAAUUGUAGAUAAUGUUCUAUAUAAAUUAAACUUUUGAUCGUACAAUGUUGAGAAUUCAAACGGCUCGGUUAAAGCUCGAGUUUGCUCGACUCGAAAUUAGAUUCGCUCGAGCUUGGCUCGAAUUAAUUUCAAGCCGAACUUGAGUCUAAAUUUAGACUCGAAAUUAAUUUUAAGCUGAAUUUAAACUAAGAUAAACUCGUUCGAGCUUGGCCCGUUUCCACCCUAGACGAGAUUGAGCUGGGCAUUGACUCGGCCUUUGUAAAGCUAUAUCUGCAACCAUUUUUUUAAGACUAAUCAUAUUAUUGGUAAGAGAUAAAUCAUCUCGAUUUGGAGCUUUGUUAGUUAAAAUUUAUUUUAUGUGGUAGAAUUACAAUAAAAUUUUAUGUUAGUUUAAGUUAAAUAAUUUUUAUUUUUAAGAUGUAUGCUUUAAAUAAUGUGGCCGGGGCAGCAAUAUGUGGAUAGAGUUCAAGACGGAGGUUUACUGCUUUAUCUCUUUUUCAAUAAAUUAUUGUUUUGCACUUUCAUGUUAGAAUAUUUUAAGUUUUUUUUAAUCUUAUUUUUAAUUUAUUUAUAAAAAAUAACUAUACACGAGAAUGCCACGUGUUAUUAGAAGGUCAUAUGUAGUUUAGACAAGUUGCAGAGUUUUGUUGAGUUAAUAAUUGAUAUGGUAAUAUAUGUUAAAUUUCCAAACAAUUAUAUAAUUAUUUUUAAUACUAAAAGUUUUUAUAAAAAAUCGUAUAAAUUUAGAGGAAGAAUUACAAAUUUUGAAUUAAGGAAUUCAAGGUUUGUAAUCUCACGGCUCUCUUUAAUGAAAAAUUCUAGAAUGCAACGGGUAUAUUAGUGACGUGGCGUAACAAACCAAUCAAAUUAAUCCUUUUAAAAAUAUAUGUCCCGUCAUGAUUGUAAAAAAGUAUUUUUAUUGUACUUUUGUUUGAAAAGAAGGAAUGUGAUUGGUUUGUUAUUGAUGACGUGGUGCAAGUAUGACAGUAGAAUUCCUCCUCUUUGACCAUAUGCUAGGGGUGUAACGUGGGACGGGCCACAACGGGCUAGCGGCCGGCCCGCCUUUAAUUUCGGGUCGGGCAGUGCCAGGCCCGAGCUGCCCAGCCUCCGGUCCGGCAACCACUCUCCGGCCCAGAAGGCACGGGCCAUGUCGUGUCCGAGCCGUGCUUCAUGACAACCUCUUAAAAUAUUUAUUUUUUUAUUUUUUUAAAAAAUUUUAGUAUAAAAUUUAAAGGUGUAAACAAUAAAUGUUAUUGUUUAAAUAAAUAUUUUAAUUAAAUCAUUAAAAAUUUAUAAAAAUAAUUAUAAUAUAGUAAAUGUUUAAUUUUUUAAAAAAAUAAAAUAAUUUGUAUUAUUUUUUUGAAAAAAAAAAAUUUGGGCCAAUGGACCAAAAUUCUUUGGCCCAUUGGACCAAAACCAUACCUCCCAAGAUCUGUUGAGGAGAAUUCCAAGACGUCCCCAGGAGCUUAGACUUCUGCUUUGGGCCUUGGGUCCGGGCCAUACUGUGCCGAGCCAUCGGCCUCUCUUAGGUACGGCAUAGUCCAGGCCCGUUUCGGGUCGGGCCAUGCCGGGCCAUCGAGCCUCAAAGUAAAGGCCUAGCACGGCCCGAAAGCCAUGGCCAAGGAAAAAUUCUAGAAUUCAACGGGUAUAUUGGUGACAUGGCGUAACAAAUCAAUCAAAUGUCUCUUUUUAGGGGUAUAUGUCCCAUCAUGAUUGUAAAAAAAUAUUUUUAUUGUACUUUUGUUUGAAAAGAAGAAAAUAUGAUUGGCUUAUUAUUGAUGACGUGGUAUAAGUGUGACAGUAUAGAAUUCCUGCUGGCCGAGCCCGCCCAGCACAAAUGCUACAGUACCCAUGUUGGUAGUCCGGCCUAAGGCCAUGCCAAGCCGGGCAGCCCACGUGCCGUCUUGCCCGUCUUACAUUCCUACCGUACGCUAAGCAUUUCUUUACCUACUCCAUCUACUUAGCUUGAAAAUUCAGAGAAGAGAACUAGUGCUCAGAGUCGAUCCACUCUAGUUAAUAGAGUUGGUCCACUUUUGCCAUUGACUUGGACCAAUCUGAAUUUUGAUUUUUAAUUAUUUUUUCAACGGUAUGAGGUUACACCUAAGAAGCAAUUAUGUUUCUAAAGUAUAAAACACAUCUUUACUUCUUCGGUCGCGAUUUUUACUAUAAUUUUAUAAUUUUGGUGGUGAUGUAUUAGCUGAUAUAAUGCAGUGCAAAUCAGAAGUCUUUGUAAUGAUGGAUCUGCAAUCACUUUUUUAUGGUAGUCACAUUGUGUUAUUAUUUUUAUACUAAAAUUUAAAUGGUUGGUUUUGCUUAAGGAAUUAGGAUCGAAUUUGCAAAAGCAAAGAUAAAGGGGUUUAGGUGUUAUAAAUUUGAGUUAGUCUAAAAGAGCUUUAUAGCUAAAUCUGGUGGAGACUAGAUCUUCCUAAUUAUUAUUAUUAUUAUUUUUUUUGAGAAAAAGGUAGCGCGCUACCGCUUCAUUCAUUGGAAAAAUGAACUAGGCUACAGGGGUGGGGCAACUAGGGCCCCGGAACAAAAUAAAAAUAAAAAUAAAAACUAAAAUAGAAAUAAAGAUAAAAAUAGAAAAAGAAAUUAAAAUUCAAGUAGAUAGAGCCGAAUCCCACUCCUUCAGUAACUGCCGGAGAGUGAUAACAACCCUCUCAGGGUUUGGUUGUAUUUCCCUAAAGAUCAUGUCGUUUCUGGCCUUCCAAAUGCACCACCAGCAACCGGCUAAAUCAGUAAGGCAGGCCCUUUUCUUCCUUCGGCUCUUCCUAAUCCUCCACCUGUCCCAAGCACGGGUGACCUCUUCCUCCAUGUCUAGCGUCUGAACUCCAUCAACUCCCGACACUAAGAUGAACUUGCUAAAAACACACCCGGUGAACAAAUGGUCUACUGUUUCCUCGGCCGACCCGCAUAGUACGCAGGUUGAGUCUUGAACCCAACCUCUUUUAGCUAAUCUAUCGGUCGUAGGUAUUCUCUUAUUAAGGACCAGCCAGCAGAACACUUUAACCUUAAGAGGGAUUUUGACUCUCCAGAGAUGAGACGCACGCGCAUCCCUCGUACCCCCGUCCGACAACGACACAUAGGUCGAUUUUACAGAGUAAGAACCAUCGUUGCUCCAUCGCCAUUGUAUAGUAUCUGAUCUAUUCUCCGUGGAAUAGUGUGAAAUCCUAUCUUUGAGCUCCGCGAGGCUGGUUCUCGUCCCUUGCCCUUGGUUGAAAACGACUCCCAAAAUCCUACUCCACUCCCAACUACCCCUCGUAAAGCAAUCACUAACUUUUAGGUUUUUUCCGACAAGAGGAAAGCCUCGGGGAAUAACAGGUUUAGCGUGUUAUCCCCACACCACCGAUCUAACCAAAAGUCGAUGUCGCACCCGUUACCAAGCUUGUAGGCCUUCCCCCAAGAGAAGAUAGUGCUGUGGCAGAGAACUCCCCUCCACCAGCUUGAGUAGGGUCUAAAUGAUCUGCCUUCUCUCAAAGGUAUUCUUCGGCGAUAAUAUAAGUCUCUGAUUAGCUUGUUCCACUGUAAUUGAGUACCUGUGUAGAAUUUCCACCACCAUUUAGUGAGUAGCGCUUGGUUCAUGAUCGCUAUAUCCAAGAUCCCUAAACCGCCUUCCUCCUUGCUCCGGCAUACAUUCUUCCAAGCCAUCAAGCAGCCCUUUCCUGCGGCGUUUCGCCCACCGUUCCAGAAGAAGUCCCUUCUAAGCGCUUCGAUGCACUUAAGUACCCAUUUGGGUGCCUUGAAUACAGAUAGGGCGUAAAGGGGUAGGUUAGUUAACACCGCGUUUACCAGAAUAAGUCUGCCUCCCCUCGAAAGCAGUUUGGCGUGCCACCCGUCUAAUUUGCUAUGCAAUUUACGGAUAAUCCCCCUCCAGGCCUCUUUUGACGGAGGUUUGGGAGACAGGGGUAGACCCAAGUAGUUGGUCGGGAAAACGCCCACUUUACAAUCCAGAAUGUUUGCUAACCUAGUAGCUUUUCCAUGAUCUCGGCCCAGGUAGAAUAACUCCGAUUUGUCUCUGUUGACUUUCAAGCCUGAAGCCCAUUCGAAUAGGUGCCAUAGAAAUUUGAGGUUCCUUGUACACCUUUUUGUUGCCACUCCAAAAAAGAAUGUGUCGUCCGCAUAUUGAAUAAGGGUGACCCUACUUAUCUCUGACGGACCCAAGCCUUGGAUGAGAUUAUUGGAAACCGCUGCGUUAGUCAAACGAGGCAAACACUCUGCCACCAGAAGGAAGAGGAACGGCGACAGAGGGUCCCCUUGCCUCACACCUCUUUUCGUCUUUAUCCAAUUAGUCGGUUCACCAUUUACAAGUAUCGCCACUUUUGCGUGACAAACGCAAAGUUCAAUCCAACGACACCAUUUUUCGUUGAAGCCCCACCACCGUAGAAUACUAAACAGGAAGGGCCAAGAAAUCCUAUCAUAGGCUUUUUCGAAAUCUACCUUGACCCCCACUCCCUCCACUGCCGUCUUGGUGCCCCAACUAAUGAGUUCAGACACCGUCGCGAAAGCGUCUGUGAUGCUCCUUCCUUUCAAGAAGGCCGACUGAGAAGUGGAUAUAAGGUCCUUCAUGACCCGCUCAAGGCGGUUGGCCAAGACCUUAGAUAUGAUCUUUUGGAUCCCAUUCAACAGGCUAAUCGGUCGAUAGUCGUUGGCCCGUUCGACCCCCUCCUUUUUAGGAAUUAAACAGAUGUACGUAAAGUCGAUGGGGUCAGUAGAGAGACUCCCUGCGUGCAUUUCCUGAAAUACCUUUACGAUAUCCUCCUUGACAGUAUCCCAAAAAGUUUGGUAAAAGCUUAGCGGAAAGCCGUCGGGGCCCGGUGCCUUAUCCUUUCCCAGUUGAAACACGGCUUCCUUGAUUUCUUCUAGGCCGAAAGGUUCAGUAAGUCUAACCGAAACAUCUACUGCUACUCGAUUAGUCUGGAAUAAUCUGCUCCAAUCCCCCCAAGAAUUUGGGGCUGAAUCCGCUGGUGUGAAGAGCUUCUUGUAGAAGCGAUAGAAGUAGCUCUUUUUCUCCUCUUCAGAUUGGUAAGUGACCCCAUUAUCAACAACCGUGCCAAUCCAGUUAGCCCUGCGUCUGUCGUUCGCUAUGGAGUGGAAGAAUUUUGUGUUGCCGUCUCCUUCGCGUAACCAGUGUUGUUUGGCCCUGGUUUUCCAGACAGCAGUUUCAUCGUUUAUCACAGUUCUAAGCUUGGCCUUUAGCUCCUCUCUUUGCAAAAAGACAGCCUGCGGAAGUGGGUCCUGCUCCUCUGCUUUAUCGAUUGACUGAAUUGCCUCCGAAAGGUAGUUCUUACGCCCUCUGAUGCUAUAGAAUUCGUUAGCACACCACUCCCUUAUCCUAUGUCGACAAUGACGCAGCUUCGCCGUGAAAGAUAACACAGCUGACUUCCCCUGCGCACCCUGCGCCCCUUCCAUCCACCAUCCCGGCAGUUUAGAACGAAAACUCUCGUGAUUCAGCCACGCUUCCUCAAAGCGAAAUGUCUUGAAUUUUGCUUUGGUUCUCGCCUCCGCCGUAAGUAAAAUAGGACAAUGAUCCGAAGUAAUCCUAGGGAGCGCUUCCACUCGCGAAAGAGGAAACGCCAGAUCCCAUUCCGUUGAGACUAAAAAGCGAUCGAGUCUCGCACACGUGGGGUUCGCUUGCAAAUUGGACCAUGUGAACGCUUGAUUGGGCAUAGGUGGGUCGAUCAAGGCUAGCUCUUUAAUCAAAUCAUUGAACAGUCUAGUAGCCUUGGAACUCCAAGUCUUGCCCUCCUUUCAUGCUGUCCCCUUGUGCAAUUAAAGUCACCACAAAUGAUCCACUUGCCCACACAUUCCUCCUUGAGUUGGGCCAAUUCCGCGAAGAAAUCUUCUUUUCCAUCCCAGGAAGCGGGCCCGUAGACAUUAGUGACGAAAAAGUUUACCCCCCCCCGUGGCUGAGGAUAGCUGGACCGUAACGGAGAAAGUUCUAACUAACACACUUAGGCAGGAGAAAAAACGCGAGCUCCAUGCCGUGAUAACCCCCCCUGAGGCCCCGUUGGCAGGUAGAAAAGCACAUUUAUUAACCAAACGGCCACCAAAGCUACUUAAGAAAGUGUAAACUGCACGUUUGGUCCUCCAACUAUUAGGUGGGUGACAUUCAUUUAAGGUUUUCAAAUUUUAAUAUAUUAUAAUUUCUGGCUGGAACAUUUACAAUUAUUGUAAUUACAUUCUAUAAUAUAAUUUAGUAAGUUAAAUAUAAAUAACUUCCAAGAAUAAACGUAAUGUAGUACUGCUAUGAUGACAAUGCACUAAUAGCUAAAAAACUAUAUCACUUUUAUAUUAGUGAUGUGUUAUUAUUUGGUCAACUAAAUUGAAUUGUAAAAUUUGAUUGCAAUAAUCUAAAAAUUUGAGUCCAAAGUUAUAACAAAUUAUAGUUUAAAGACUAAAGUGUCACUCGUCUCAUAGUUUGGAAAUAUAUUUAUACACUCCAAGAGUUUUAAAAUCUUUUUAAAAAUUUUUAGUAUUUUUUGAUGUGACAAAUGAGGUGAUCCCAACCUUUGAGAGGCUAGGGUACAAGAUUUGCACCUACAGGCUACAGGAUAAAUGUAUCGAUAGCAUUGCUAUACUAAAAUUUAAUAAAAAGUGUCUAAAUCAUUAGAUUGAUAGGCUCUAAAAUUUAAAGCCCAUGUUUAAAUGACUAUUUCGCUUAAUAAAUAGAGGGUGUAGAUAAAUAAAAAUCAUAUCCUCUCUAUUCUCCCAUCGGAUCUUAUGAUUUAGAGCAAUGUUGAUUGCACAGUUUACUGUAGGAUGUAAAUCUUUUUUUUCUUUUUUUUUUUCCGUUCAAAGGCUAAUAUUUUUGUGCCAUAAAUUUCAACAUAUUUUUUACACUAUAAUGCUUUUAAAAAAAAUAAUUAAACCCUAAUUUAGUGGGUAUAGGAUGUACAUCUUAGACAUUGAUGAGUGUACCAGUAGUAUUUGUUAAUGUUUUACGUUAAGACGGAUAAACCAUCUUCUGCAGAUCAUGACUACAUUAUAAUAAAAAAUAAUAUAAUAUAUAUAUAAAGAUAAGUAAAAAUUUUAUUAAAAAAAAUAAAUUUAUAGUUCAGUGACAUAAUCUUAUUCUGUCUUUUAAAUAGUUUAAUUUACCUAUUACAUAUUUUUUGGAAUUAUAAAAUUCCUACGCAUGAACAUAAAAAUUAAUUUUUAAAAUGAUCAAAUAUUUCGACUCGGGCUGCAGUUAGGGACCGUUUGGUUAGAUGUAAUUAUAAAUACAGUAUAAUUAGAGAUGUAUGUAGUUGAAAAUGCAGAAGUUAUAACUAUAUGCAUCAUAUUUGGUUGGAUGUAGUAAAAAGCGCUGCAACUAUAAAUAAUUUAUUUGGUUGCAUGUAGUUGAGAAAUAAUUUUUAAAAUUUUAUCAUUUUACACUCUUCAACGGUUGUAAUUAGAACUGCGGCCAAUUUGGGCGUAGUUCCAACUGCUGCAAUUGGACCACUUCCUGCAGUUCGUACUGCAGUAGUUGGAGAUAAAUACAUUAAACCUAAUAUCGAAUUUGAAUUUGCAUGCAGUUACAAUUGCCGUGCAGUUGCAACUACAUACAACCAAACGCCCUUAGUUGUGUUACAUAUUUAAUUGUCACAUGAAUUUAUUAAUUUGUUAAUAACGAUAUGACAAAAAAUACGACACAUCUUAUCUAUUAAAUAUUAAGUUAUUAUCUCAAAUCAAUUAUGACUAAAUACUGAAUUGUCAUCAGUUUGCUAACACCAAAGAUGCAGUAGCAAAAUAAAAGAUAAACGAAGUCAGGAUUCAAUCACGAGGGGCCAAAAUAUGUAUAAAUAAAAAUUUUAGCAGAUAAACAAGAUUUUAACUAUUUAAAUUUUUAAUAAAAAAUUUUAAUAAUUAGAUAAUUAAUAUUAAAAAAUAUUAAAUUUAUUUUUUUAAUUUACAGUCGCUUAACUUCUAAUCAUUUUAUUUGCAUUAUUCCAUUCAAAUAAUUUAAAAAUUUUACUAAAUUUAAUAGUAAUUUAGUUAGAAUUUAAUUUUUUUAAUUUUUGUUAAUAAAAUAAUAACAAUCAAUGACUAAUAUCUAGCAGAGCUAUUAAAUUUAGCAUACUUUUUAAUUUAAUUAAAUAAAUUAGCCCAUAAAAAAAUGAUUAGAAAGUUAAGAAUGUGUAAAUAAAAUAUUUAAAGUUGAAAUGACUUAUUUUAAAAUAUACUAUAAUUAAGAGAUUCUUAGCAUAUUUUUAUCUAUAAAACACAUUAAAAGAGAAAGAGCUCUAUAUUAGCACUAAAAUUUUUUUAUAACAUAAACACAUAUAUUUUAAAAAUUAACUAAAAAUUUAUACUAUAAACUAAAUAUUGAAAAGUUGAGAAUGGCUAUAACCCCUUUGGGUCUAUAAAUGGCUCCAUUGGAGAUAAAGGGCGUGUUUGGUUCGAAGUUGGAGUCGGAAUCGAAAUCGGAAUCAAAAUAAGCUGGAAUCGGAAUCGGAAUGACUCAUUACCUAAUUCUGUUUGGUUCAUCACCUGAAUCGGAAUCGGAAUAAAUCAUUCCCAUUGUCGGUGUUUGGUUCAGGUGGAUAUAAAAAACGUAAUCAAAUUAAUAUACUAACAUUAUCUUUAUAAUAUAUUAAUUUAAAUUCAAAUUAAAUAUUAAAUAUUAAAAAUUUACAUCAAAAUUUUGAAAUAAUGUCAAAAUUUUAAAUCUAUUUUUUUAAAAAAAAUUAAACUUUGAAGUUGAGUGGAUAAUUCAAAAUGUGAAACUAAAUUUUGAUUUAUUCAAAUUCAAACUAAAAUUACAAUUUAAAUUUUAAUUUGAAUCUAUAAAUUUAAUUUAAGUUUGAAAUAAAAUUUGAAUAAAACUUUAUAUAAAUUAAAAUUUAAUUUAAAUUCAAAUUUAUAAGUUAGAUUCGAAAUACUUGAUUAAAUUUUAAAUUUUAAUUUAAGUUCAAAUUAAAAUUUAAAAUUAUAUAUUUAAUUUUUAAAUUUUAACUCAUAUCUUAAUUAAAAAAGUUGAAAAAAUAAAUUUAAUCCGAAUAAAUAUCCAUUCCGUCCGGAUUCAACUUCCAAUCUGACCUUCUAGACCGGAUUGAAAAAUGAGGUGAUUGGGGGAUUCUCAUUCCACUCGAGAAUGGGAAUCGGAAUGGGACUCCCGCAUACCAAACACCCACAAACGGAUUCACCCAUUCCGAUUCCGAUUCCAGGGUGAAAAAGAAGCGAACCAAACACGCCCAAAGAGUAAACUAUAACCAUUUGUCACUUGUUUGGUUCUGCAGUUACCUUGAUAAAUAAUGUCCGAUAAGUAAUUGUGAGUUGGAAAUUUGUCUUUUCAAUAAAUUUAUUUGAAGAUGGAUGAAGAGAAAUAACUAAAAUUAAAUCUAUUACACCCAAACCACAAAACACAGCAAAAUAAUCACGUAAAAUAUGAAGAAUGCUUCUUGCACACCUAUUAUGCAAGUGUAAGAUUUAUAUUUCAAUCUCUCAAAAUCUAAGGGGUUGUUCCUAGAGCAAGUGACAAAGGAUUUGGUGGUUGGUAUCCGAAACCGAAGUUCGAAUUCUAAUUGAUUCACAUUUCUAGCUAUGUUUAUUUCGUUUUUUUGAGAGAUAGGUAGCACGCUACCCGCUUCGUUUAUUUCAUUUAAAAAUAAACUUAGUCUUACUUCUAAGUUUAUUUUUAAAUGAAAUAAAUUCCACUUGGCCUUGCAACUGCAAGCAAAGUGGAAUGAGAGAUGCCUUAUUUCUAAGAGAGAGAAAUUAAUUCCUUGCGUACGCCCCAAACCCAAAAAAAAAAAAAAAAAAAAACUUGACAUAUAGAAUUUAGUCUUACUUAAAAAAUAUAUAUAUAUAUUUAUUAGAUAUUCUUCUCUCAUUUCUUUGCUUGAAUACUAUGUGAACUUUAAUAUAUAUAUAUAUAUUAUAUAUAUAUAUAUAUAUAUAUAUAUAUAUAUAUAUUAUAUAUAUAUAUAUAUAUAUAUAUAUAGAGUGAGGUUACUAUGCUAUCGAAAGCACGGAGCAUUCCGUGCUUUCAGCUCAUUUUCGAUGUUGUGGCUUUCGAAUCGUCGAUCAGCUCCGUUAAACUUGAUCUAGAGUAUUUGAAGUACCUAGAAAUAAAUUUUAUGAUUUACGAUAUCAUUUACCUAGUGAACGAAGGGGCUCAAAUUCAACGGCUGAAAAUAAAAAUCUUAUAAAAUAUAAAAAUAUGACAUUAAAAUUUUAA
RNAcentral lists this long non-coding RNA (19466 nucleotides) under Ananas comosus (pineapple). Its description in RNAcentral is "long non-coding RNA (ACOM_LNC015991)". The record is from RNAcentral. Lineage: Eukaryota; Viridiplantae; Streptophyta; Magnoliopsida; Poales; Bromeliaceae.